UGGACCAGUGAUGAUGAUCGGUGGUGUAUGAGUCACAGAUGAUGAGUGUUACGUGUCUGAAACUCUGAGGUCCAA
This is a small nucleolar RNA of Neogale vison (American mink), 75 nucleotides long. NCBI's taxonomy places the organism in Eukaryota, Metazoa, Chordata, Mammalia, Carnivora, Mustelidae. The record is from Ensembl.